This 465-nucleotide ribosomal RNA is filed under the name uncultured Klebsiella sp. Its description in RNAcentral is "bacterial SSU rRNA". It matches the Rfam family "Bacterial small subunit ribosomal RNA", at positions 338 to 795 of the family's 1533-position model. The record is from RNAcentral. Lineage: Bacteria; Pseudomonadati; Pseudomonadota; Gammaproteobacteria; Enterobacterales; Enterobacteriaceae.
CCUACGGGUGGCAGCAGUGGGGAAUAUUGCACAAUGGGCGCAAGCCUGAUGCAGCCAUGCCGCGUGUGUGAAGAGGGCCUUCGGGUUGUAAAGCACUUUCAGCGGGGAGGAAGGCGGUGAGGUUAAUAACCUCAUCGAUUGACGUUACCCGCAGGAGAAGCACCGGCUAACUCCGUGCCAGCAGCCGCGGUAAUACGGAGGGUGCAAGCGUUAAUCGGAAUUACUGGGCGUAAAGCGCACGCAGGCGGUCUGUCAAGUCGGAUGUGAAAUCCCCGGGCUCAACCUGGGAACUGCAUUCGAAACUGGCAGGCUAGAGUCUUGUAGAGGGGGGUAGAAUUCCAGGUGUAGCGGUGAAAUGCGUAGAGAUCUGGAGGAAUACCGGUGGCGAAGGCGGCCCCCUGGACAAAGACUGACGCUCAGGUGCGAAAGCGUGGGGAGCAAACAGGAUUAGAUACCCGGGUAGUC